GAUGAACGCUGGCGGCGUGCCUAAUACAUGCAAGUCGAGCGAACAGACGAGGAGCUUGCUCCUCUGACGUUAGCGGCGGACGGGUGAGUAACACGUGGAUAACCUACCUAUAAGACUGGGAUAACUUCGGGAAACCGGAGCUAAUACCGGAUAAUAUAUUGAACCGCAUGGUUCAAUAGUGAAAGACGGUUUUGCUGUCACUUAUAGAUGGAUCCGCGCCGCAUUAGCUAGUUGGUAAGGUAACGGCUUACCAAGGCGACGAUGCGUAGCCGACCUGAGAGGGUGAUCGGCCACACUGGAACUGAGACACGGUCCAGACUCCUACGGGAGGCAGCAGUAGGGAAUCUUCCGCAAUGGGCGAAAGCCUGACGGAGCAACGCCGCGUGAGUGAUGAAGGUCUUCGGAUCGUAAAACUCUGUUAUUAGGGAAGAACAAAUGUGUAAGUAACUAUGCACGUCUGGACGGUACCUAAUCAGAAAGCCACGGCUAACUACG
RNAcentral lists this ribosomal RNA (495 nucleotides) under uncultured bacterium. Its description in RNAcentral is "partial 16S ribosomal RNA". It matches the Rfam family "Bacterial small subunit ribosomal RNA", at positions 28 to 505 of the family's 1533-position model. The record is from RNAcentral.